UGGAGCACCUUCCGGCCUCUACAUGC
This 26-nucleotide non-coding RNA is filed under the name Homo sapiens (human). Lineage: Eukaryota; Metazoa; Chordata; Mammalia; Primates; Hominidae. The record is from RNAcentral.